RNAcentral lists this long non-coding RNA (3504 nucleotides) under Homo sapiens (human). RNAcentral's name for it is "non-protein coding lnc-XKR9-3:5". Lineage: Eukaryota; Metazoa; Chordata; Mammalia; Primates; Hominidae. The record is from RNAcentral.
AGACAGCGCGAGCUCGCGAGCAGGGGAGGGGGCUCGGGAGCCAGGCCGUCCCUCCCUCUGCCUCCCCGGCAGUGGCCGCCGCCAAGUCCUGUCACCGGGAAAAGGACGGGGCGGAAACUUGCCUCUCGCGCCCCCGAGGAAGGGGCAAAGGUGGACGCAGGGUUGUCCGGGGAGCAGCCCCUGGCCGCGGGGUCCGCAGCAUCUCCGUCGGCAGAGUCCUCUGAGAAGGCGGCCCGGGGAGAGGUGAAGAAGAGUAAGGGGACAGGGGACAAAAUGGGUGACUGUGGUAGAGGGAGGGUGACCUAGAGGUGACUGGAACUGAAGAGAGAGUCAACAGAGGACUGCAUGGGAGGGCAAAGGGCAAUGCCAAAAAGAAAACUAGCGACUGGGACGGGCCUGGGCCGCUGAGUUAGAGGCAGUGGGGCCUGGGGGCUGCAGACGGCAGGGACGGUGCCCCAGGACGAAGAUCGGGGAGAGCCGAGUUCCAGGGUCGCCAGCAGAGGACCCUCGCGCCCGUCCGGCCGGACCCUUCGGCCAGCACCCUGCACCCCCUCGGGCGCACCUCACCCUACCCAACUCCCGGUCCUGCCGCUGCUCCCCGGAGGCGCCCCGCAUCCGUCAAGUCCCCUACGGCUCCAACAGGGAGAGGCUUCUCCCAUUGCAGUCCUAGCUCCAGAGGGGAUGGAGAGGCGCGACUGUGGGAGCUGGAAGGGGCACCACCCGGCAAUUGCGGGAUAAAGCAAAUGCUGCACACAGAGUGUGAAACUUAACCUGGUUGAGAAUUUUCGGCACAUCAUGAAAUCAUAAGUUUGUAUUGGAAAGUCCAUUCUCUAGACAUCCGUGAACAAAGUACUGAGGGGACGUAGGAGAUUGGCACUGAAAAUGCGAGAACCCCCAUUUAAGUGUUACUUAGACCAAUCUGUUUUACGCUUUGGAAAAGCAAGUUUUUUUUCCAACUUAUACGGUAAUUAGUUGAAAAAAAAAACUUUUGUUUAAUGGCAGUUAUCAAACUAUGAGAGGAACAUAUUCCCUGAUUUUAAUCUUAUAAUGAGAAAGGUCACUUGCGGUAGACAAUAAGAGUGUUUAUUGAACACUUACUGUGAAUCUGACUGUGCUAGGUGAUGUAUAUAUGCUAUAGGCCUUAAUCCUCAAACCUUCCGAAGUCAUUGCCGCUUUUCACUUCACACAAAAAAUUGAAGCUUAAAGUAAUUUGCCCAGGGUCACAGCCAGUAGUUGGAGAGGAUGUGAGCCCAGUUCUGGUGAGCUCCAAAGCCCAUGCUUUUAAACAUGUCUUCAUCCUAAAAUUUGUGGGUGUACCGCCAAUUUUAUUUGGGAAAAGAAUAAAAAAAAUGUGUGGGGUGUGUGUGUCUGUGUUUGUUUGUGGAUAGAAAAUGCUUGGAAGCCUAUAACAACAAAUGUUAGCGCUGGGGAGUGUAAGAAGUGGGUGAUGAGGCACUUCCACUUUUUAUUUUGCACACCUAUCUAAUGUUUGAAAUGUUUGCAUUGACUAUGUAUUAAUGUAUAUUUUUAAAGGUUUUUUUUUUUUUUUUUUUUUUUUUUUUUUAGCUAGCUGGAAUAAUAGAAUUAUGUUCCCAAAGCGUUGAGAGGAAAUGGAGAGUUUGUUUAUGGCCUAUCUUCUGCUAAUACCAGUCUGUAGCUUGUCUACAAUGGGGUAGUAGUCACCUGAGGUUUGUCACAAUUCUGAACUCCCGAUUUGCUUUCCUGUCCUCACCCCCAACUGUGAGUUAUCAGGAGUUGUGAUAAUAAAUAAAUAAAUAAAUAAAAAUUUAAAAAAAAGAUUCUCCUUCUUGCUUGCUAUCCCUCCCAUUUUGGCAGAAGUCCAGAGUCUAUCAGUCCUCUGCAAUCGUAGAUUUCACACUUUUUAAAACUACCCAUGAUACCUCUGCAAACAAAUGACUCCCCCCAUUGCAUUCCCGUAUUACCCAAUAAAACGUCUUACGACGGCUGAAGACUUUUUCUUACAAGAAAUAAACAAAAACGUCUGACAGCAUAGUAGAUGAGUUCCAUGCCCAAGUGCUACUCAAUUGCCUGAGCUUGAAUUGAAUUGUGUGACUUAAACGCGCUCUGGUACAAUCUCUGGGUGCCCUCUGAACUUCAGGCUCUUGCUGUAACAGUAGUCUGUCUUGCACUAGAGUUGUUUAUAUGUUUGUCUUUCUCUUUCACUAGAUUGUAAGUGCAACAGAGCCCAAGACCUAGUCUUGUUCUUGUUUGUACAUGCUAUAGCACCUAACAAGGAAUGUAUGAUGUUUGUUGUUUCAUUGAAUUUGUGAAAUAUAAAUAAUAGUAUCUAUUCCGAUCCUCAUGUCCUCUUCCCCACCUCAUCUUCCAAUCCCUUGCUCAUAAAACAUGUUUAUAAAAAACAUCUUCCAUACUUAGAAAGAACUUUGAUUCCCAUGAGACCUCAGAACAAUUGUUUAUUAAAACUAGCCAUAAUUUUUAGUGAAUCAUCACUAUGAUAAUGUAAAAUGAAAAGGUAGAGGAGGCGGUAAAUAAGUUGGCUCAAUGACACAAAUUAAGAAAGGAAGAAGAAGGAAAGAAAAAAGAAGGCAAAGAUAUAGGAACUAGGUAUAUUACCAAGAGAGAACAACAAGGAAAAAAUAUGUGGGUGCAGAUCAUAAAGGGGAAGGAAAUUAUUGAAAUUUAGUGGAAGUAGAAAUAACAUACCGUGAAUGGAUGAGGCAAGGAAACACCAAAAAUGUCAGCAGAAUCAUAAAUGCAGCAUGGAAAAGUAAAGAAAAUGACAAAUUAUAUAUUUAACAAUAUAACCUAGGAAUAAUCAGAACAAUAUGACUGCUACAAGACAAGAAUUUCUAUUUUUGUCUGCCUUUUCUUCCACAGUUUUCAAAGUACUCACUUUUUUCAUAAGUAAACUGCAUAAAAGUGGGAGAUUCUAUACUAUUUUUGAGUUAAUACUACUAGCAUACAUCAUGAGAUUAGAGGUAACAGUAUGGUAAAAAAGAGCUAUAGAAUAUAAGCAAAUAAAUAUGAUGUGAAGUGGUCUCUGUAAGUUACUGUGUGACCUCAAACAAGUCACUAAAUAUCGCAAUUUCCUCAUCUGUGUAAUUGUUGCAAGACUCAAAAUGGUGUAAAUAAAUGUACUUUGUUAACUAUCAAGCUCUUUAUACAGAUGUAAGGGAAUAUUAUUAUGUCAGCUAAUAUGUAGCACAGUUAUCUCUGUUUUGGUGCAUUCCUAAAUUGCCAAAGCAAAAAUCUAUAGUUCAUUCUAUUAAAAUGUAAUCAUAGGGUGGGGGCGUCAGUUAAAACAUUUGUUUGUCAAUUUGAUUAUUGAACGACUGUGAUGAAAUGUUUCAUUCUUAUUGUUUGCUCUCUUCUAAAUCCCUUAAAUAGUAUAACUACAAUAAACAAAUGUCUAAUAUAAGUCAAGCAUAUUACAUAAAUUUUUUCCUUACUGAAGUAGUCAUUGUAUGUAUAUUAUUCUCAUUUUAUGUACAAUAAAGCUGAGCUUCAGAGACUUCAAGUAAA